RNAcentral lists this transfer RNA (78 nucleotides) under Nitrososphaerota archaeon. RNAcentral's name for it is "tRNA-Lys". It matches the Rfam family "tRNA". Rfam says of the family: Transfer RNA (tRNA) molecules are approximately 80 nucleotides in length. Their secondary structure includes four short double-helical elements and three loops (D, anti-codon, and T loops). Lineage: Archaea; Thermoproteati; Nitrososphaerota. The record is from RNAcentral.
GGGCCUGUGGCUCAGCCAGGUUAGAGCGGCUGGCUCUUAACCAGCAUGCCGUGGGUUCGAAUCCCACCAGGCCCGCCA